AUGGCAUGGAGAGUCCAGAGGCUGAGGACAAUGCAGUCCCAGGCCACCAUGGAGGGACAACUGGAUGUGGAGCUGCCUGCUGGAAAGGAUCAGCUGCAGAAGGCCAGUGGUGACAACAGGCUACAGAUUGCCACAAUGAAGAACAGCUGCUACCCUUGCCCGAUCCAUGGAGAGUGGAGCAGAGGGAGGCACAAAGGAGAGGGAGCCCUGUUGCCCUGUUCAUGAAUGGGCUUGAAGUCUCCAGAAAGGAUAAUACCUGAAAACCACCAUUGAGAUUCAAUUCUCAAUUCACCAUUGAAUUGAAUCUUCAAUUCACCAUUGAGAUUCAAUAUGGAAGGAAAAGCCAAGAAAAGAAAAAAUAGAGUUCAAAAUGAGCCAGAUCUGCAGAGAAAAAUAAAUCAGGACAUUUUCCUACAAUUCACCCCUAUUGGAGAAACAGCAAGACUCAGGAUGCUGCCAACUGCUCCAUUAUUAAGUGCCUUCUUCAAUCUCAUGAUCCAGGGCAAAACUGCUUUUAAGUGCUGGACAAGAACUCCAGAUGCCGACUCUGCAAACUUUCCCUACCAUUUUGGUAUAUAAUAUAUUUAUAUAUUAGCCAGAUUUGUUUAAUUCUUAGUUUUCUUAGCAAGUGGCUAGUAAGGCAACACAUGAAUAUUCUGAAAAUAUUUACUUGAAAAGACCAUGUUUGUUUCUGUAAGCAUUGGAAAUAAGUCAAUUUUUAUUUUAUAUUCAUGAACGUAAUCCCUUUUAUAUAAUUACUUUUUAACUGCAUGAUAAGACAUUGUUUU
This is a long non-coding RNA of Thamnophis sirtalis, 788 nucleotides long. RefSeq lists it as uncharacterized. Lineage: Eukaryota; Metazoa; Chordata; Lepidosauria; Squamata; Natricidae. The record is from RefSeq and is a predicted model, not a curated record.